Molecule: ribosomal RNA, 484 nt
Filed under: uncultured bacterium
Lineage: Bacteria
Description: partial 16S ribosomal RNA
Rfam family: Bacterial small subunit ribosomal RNA
Source: RNAcentral
AUUGAACGCUGGCGGCAGGCCUAACACAUGCAAGUCGAGCGGAUGAAGGGAGCUUGCUCAUGGAUUCAGCGGCGGACGGGUGAGUAAUGCCUAGGAAUCUGCCUGGUAGUGGGGGAUAACGUCCGGAAACGGGCGCUAAUACCGCAUACGUCCUGAGGGAGAAAGUGGGGGAUCUUCGGACCUCACGCUAUCAGAUGAGCCUAGGUCGGAUUAGCUAGUUGGUGGGGUAAAGGCCUACCAAGGCGACGAUCCGUAACUGGUCUGAGAGGAUGAUCAGUCACACUGGAACUGAGACACGGUCCAGACUCCUACGGGAGGCAGCAGUGGGGAAUAUUGGACAAUGGGCGAAAGCCUGAUCCAGCCAUGCCGCGUGUGUGAAGAAGGUCUUCGGAUUGUAAAGCACUUUAAGUUGGGAGGAAGGGCAGUAAGUUAAUACCUUGCUGUUUUGACGUUACCAACAGAAUAAGCACCGGCUAACUUCGUG